Molecule: RNA transcript, 1349 nt
Organism: Prosopis cineraria
Lineage: Eukaryota; Viridiplantae; Streptophyta; Magnoliopsida; Fabales; Fabaceae
Gene name: proline-rich receptor-like protein kinase PERK3
Exons: 7
Source: RefSeq, a predicted model, not a curated record
CUUUUCCAAUGCAGAAGCUACCUCUCCAUCGCCGACUGUGUCGCCUGCUUCGACGUCGCUGCCCCUCAAAUUUUCAGCUGCGCCGCCGGGGACCUCGGUGGCCAUGUCGUCUACGACGGGUGCUACCUCAGGUACGACAUUAGUAGCGCUUUCUUUGGCGACGCGACCCAGUCCGUGAAUAGUGCAUCAUGUGGGAAUCAAACUACUGAAGAACCAGCUACUGUAUUCACCUCAGCUGUGCAUCAAGUGCUCAUGAAUCUGCAAACAGCAACACCCAGAAUCACUGCCUUCUCUGCAGCCACAAAGACGCAAGUGUCUGAUAAUGGUGCAACCAUUUAUGCAUUUGCUCAAUGUAUUCAAACUAUCACAUCAAGUAAGUGCGAGGAUUGCUUGAAUGCUCAGUACAACAAUAUGCAGACUUGGCUUCCCAAUUCAGAUGGUUCAAGCAAUAAGGGAGCCAUUAUAGGUGGGGUUGUUGGAAGCGUGGUAGCUCUUGCUUUGAUCUUUAUUGCAUUAUUUGUCUUGAUUAGACAACGAAGAAAAAGGCCUCAGAGGGUUCCAAGAGGAGACAUAAUUGGAGCGAGCAAGUUGAAAGGCCCAACUGUUUACAAUUAUAAGGAUUUGAAGACUGCAACCAAGAAUUUCAGUCAAGAAAAUAAACUAGGAGAAGGAGGAUUUGGUGUUGUGUAUAAGGGCACUUUGAAGAAUGGAAAAGAAGUUGCAGUCAAGAAAUUAACAUUUCGCCACUUAUUCACAAGGAUGGAGGAGGACUUUGAAAGUGAAGUGAAGCUUAUAAAUGAUGUUCAUCAUCGGAAUCUUGUUUGACUUUUGGGAUAUUGUAUUCAUGGCUUGUUUAUGAGUACAUGAAAAAUAGCAGUCUUGACAUAUUCUUGUUCGAAAUGAUCAGUGGUCAAAGAAGUGAAGAAUUGAAGAUCCAUGGCAAUGAUGAAGGCGAGUUCCUCCUUCAAAAAGCUUGGAAACUAUAUGAGAGAGGAAUCCAUUCAGAGCUGUAGAAGAAGUGAAGAAAGUCAUAGAGAUUGGUUUGCUUUGCACUCAAGCACAUGCUGACAUAAAGCCAACGAUGUCAGAAGUAGUUGUUUUGCUUCAAAACAUGGCCUUACCAGAGAACAUAAAACCCACCAUGCCUCUCUUGAUUGAAGCUACUUAAAUGACCAAUUAAUGGAUACCUACCUACCUCUGCUGCUUCCUUUACAUCCAAUACUAUCAAUGUUGCUCCCACCCUCUAUAGAAAAGUGCGGGUUACUAAUGUGACUUUGGAGUCCUAAUUACGAAGAAAAAUGGAAAGUGAUCAUUGUUCUUCAUUCCAUUCUUCAAUAUUUGUGUUAAUU